This 110-nucleotide ribosomal RNA is filed under the name uncultured bacterium. Its description in RNAcentral is "partial 16S ribosomal RNA". It matches the Rfam family "Bacterial small subunit ribosomal RNA", at positions 1373 to 1482 of the family's 1533-position model. The record is from RNAcentral.
CCCGGGUCUUGUACACACCGCCCGUCACACCAUGGGAGCGGGAUGUACCAGAAGUAGGUAGGCUAACCGCAAGGGGGCCGCUUACCACGGUGUGUUUCGUGACUGGGGUG